Long non-coding RNA from Ruditapes philippinarum (Manila clam), 974 nucleotides. RefSeq lists it as uncharacterized. The record is from RefSeq and is a predicted model, not a curated record. NCBI's taxonomy places the organism in Eukaryota, Metazoa, Mollusca, Bivalvia, Venerida, Veneridae. The transcript is spliced from 6 exons.
UUCCCAUUGUGUUUUUGCAACAGCUGUAAGGUAGGUAAACCUUGCAGCUGGCAGGUGUUAUUCUGUAGGUCUUCAUGCCCUGAUAUAUCCCUGGUCUGUGGAUCAAGACAACAUGGUGAAUCCGAGGAGUCUGGCAACUUCAUAUCCGCAAGGAGGAAUCGUGUGGGAGUGAUUGUUUUUCAAUCUUGAGCUAGCAGGAUUGUUACCUGACAGUUGUUUCUGGGUUGAGAGAAAUGGAGGCAGUGGAUCAUAGUACGGAAGUGACCUCAGAUGACAAUUACCUGCAUAUGACUGAUACUGGAUAACAACUUCCGAUGGAACAAAUGAGAUUAAAUAUGUUCAUUAACACUUUUCUUGGUUGUAAAACUUUAUAGUUUUAGAAUCGAAGACAAUCAUUUUGGAAGAGAAACAUGUAUGAUGUUAGUGUCAACCAAAGAAACAACCAUUAGAAGCAAACAAAGUAUUUCAGUUGUGGAAAUGGUGAUCUUCUUUGAAUCUUGUUGUACAAAGGUUAAGGUCUUUUUUGGCACCAAAAAGAGGGUAGCUUGCAAAUAUUCUGAGCAGUUAAACAGACGAAAAGUUAAUAUAUCCAGAAUUUACAACAGACUAAUAAGAAAAACCAUCAGGAAUAGAAUAGUCAACAUCAUGACUAUUACUGUAGGUCUGCAGUUCUAGUGCUUUGAAGGAACGCUCAGUUACAGAAAAAUUGUUUGAAUAGCUAUGAUACAGAUAAGAGGAAAGAACUACUUGUACAGUGUUGAGUUUGAAUUUUAGGAGCCUUGCUGACAGACCUUUAACAAUGCCAGAACCAGAUAGUUUCUUCCCAAAAUAGCAACAGACUGAUACCAGAGUGAUAGAAAUAGACGGAUACAAGACUAAAGCAAUAUUUCUUGACUUUCAAACAGCUCAAAAUCUUAUUGAAGAAUGCGCCAUGGAGUACUGUUUGAUUAUCCUUUACCAGAAGAAGGUAUGAA